Molecule: long non-coding RNA, 199 nt
Filed under: Trifolium pratense (red clover)
Lineage: Eukaryota; Viridiplantae; Streptophyta; Magnoliopsida; Fabales; Fabaceae
Description: long non-coding RNA (TPRA_LNC003831)
Source: RNAcentral
AAAAAAGCAAUAUAUUCUUUAUUUUCCUUGCUAUUUUCUUCACCCAAAAAUUUCUCUUUUCCUUGUGUUUCAUUGGUUUGAAAACUAAUAUUGUUGUAUCAGUUGAAUUGAUAUUGUAGUAUCAAUUUUCAAAUUGUAUUGUUGUAGUAUAAUUCAAGAAGAUGUUCCUUCUCCGAUCGUUACAGUGCAGUAAUCAAUC